RNAcentral lists this ribosomal RNA (486 nucleotides) under uncultured bacterium. Its description in RNAcentral is "partial 16S ribosomal RNA". It matches the Rfam family "Bacterial small subunit ribosomal RNA", at positions 29 to 507 of the family's 1533-position model. The record is from RNAcentral.
AUUGAACGCUGGCGGCAUGCUUUACACAUGCAAGUCGAGCGGCAGCGCGGGGGCAACCCUGGCUGCGAGCGGCGAACGGGUGAGUAAUGCAUCGGAACGUAUCCUCGAGUGGGGGAUAACCCAGCGAAAGUUGGGCUAAUACCGCAUGAGCUCUGAGGAGGAAAGCGGGGGACCUGCGAGGGCCUCGCGCUGGAGGAGCGGCCGAUGUCCGAUUAGCUAGUUGGUGGGGUAAAGGCUUACCAAGGCGACGAUCGGUAGCUGGUCUGAGAGGAUGAUCAGCCACACUGGAACUGAGACACGGCCCAGACUCCUACGGGAGGCAGCAGUGGGGAAUUUUGGACAAUGGGGGCAACCCUGAUCCAGCCAUGCCGCGUGAGUGAAGAAGGCCUUCGGGUUGUAAAGCUCUUUCGGACGGAACGAAAUGGGCGGGACUAAUACUCCGGUCUGAUGACGGUACCGUAAGAAGAAGCACCGGCUAACUACGUG